Long non-coding RNA from Onychostruthus taczanowskii (white-rumped snowfinch), 1185 nucleotides. RefSeq lists it as uncharacterized. The record is from RefSeq and is a predicted model, not a curated record. The transcript has 4 exons. NCBI's taxonomy places the organism in Eukaryota, Metazoa, Chordata, Aves, Passeriformes, Passeridae.
CCCAUCUGCGAAAUUCCCUGCACCAAUUUCAACCAGGCUUGCUUUAUCACAUUCCCUCCUUGCCAGCCUAGCAACCUGCUCUAGUCUGUUUCCUGUCCCAGUGGAGAAGAGGGGACUAUGUCUUUAAUGCCUUGUGUGAACGCUGAGAUGAAGAACUGAGAUGUGGAAAGAGAGUUUGUGAACCAGAAAAGCUUUGGUAGAGAAAGAGGAGAGAACAUCAUGAGCAGAGUGGGAAUAUCCCAAAAGCAUGAAUAGCUGUUCCUGGAGCUGAGGCUGGAAUAUAAGUCCAAGUUAAUGAAGCAGCCUCAAAGUUGAGGAGGAAGAGAAUAAACUGCAGCUCUGAGGCACAGACCAUUGGAGAUCCCUCUUUCAAACCCUGCCUUUGCCACUCACUGGAGUUAUUUGGUUUGGGAGCAAGAUAAGAAUUCACAAUAUCUGAUUUGUAGAAAUAGCCUGGAGGAAGGAAAAACAGACAGAAAUACUAAUUUCAGAUAUAAUUUUCAUCUCUGUUUUCUAAAAGACUUUCUCAUAUCUAAUAGCAUUAAGCAAAUACAAAGUACAGAUUUUGGGGAAGCUGUGCACCGACUGACAAAUGCAUCUCCAAAUAGCCCACAGUUCAGCACUUCUUUUUCUGUCAAUACUCCAUGACCAGGAAAGGUUUGGAGCAUAAUUCUCUCCCAGUAAUCUAUCUUCUCCCUUUCUCUCUCUCCCUUUUUUUUUCUCUCCUAGUAAGAAAUAGACCUGGAAAUUCAUUGCUGAUUUCCCAGGAGUGUUAUUCAUGCCAGUUUAUUUAUGUAUUUAUUAUUCAAGUGCAAACUGUUGCAGUUCCUUGUGGUAAACUGCAAAUCAAACUGAUAGAGGCAGAGGGCUGGCUGUCACACCAAGUGCCAUAGAGACGAGUGCUGAUGCUGUGGCUGCUGCUGCCCCUAAGUGAGGAGGUGUGAGGACAAUUCAGCCUCCUUGGUGCUCAGGGCUGCCCAGGCCUUGGCUAGAGCCGGAAAAAAACAGUAUGCCUUCAAAAGGAUUUAAUUGUCUUCAGCAGGACAUUUAAUACAACUAUGUUUUAACAUGUGAGCAUAAUGGUUUAUUGUGUUUAAGUGUUGGAACUGCAGCUAGGAGAAAUCUAUAUUAAGGCUGAUAAGAAAGGGACAACUUCAACUUGGAAUGUGAUCAAUUGCAAAAAUA